This 253-nucleotide ribosomal RNA is filed under the name uncultured bacterium. Its description in RNAcentral is "partial 16S ribosomal RNA". It matches the Rfam family "Bacterial small subunit ribosomal RNA", at positions 524 to 776 of the family's 1533-position model. The record is from RNAcentral.
UACGUAGGUGGCAAGCGUUGUCCGGAUUUACUGGGCGUAAAGAGCGCGCAGGCGGUCGUUCAAGUCGCGUGUGAAAGCCCCCGGCUCAACUGGGGAGGGUCACGCGAUACUGAUCGACUCGAAGGCAGGAGAGGGAAGUGGAAUUCCCGGUGUAGUGGUGAAAUGCGUAGAUAUCGGGAGGAACACCAGUGGCGAAGGCGACUUCCUGGCCUGUUCUUGACGCUGAGGCGCGAAAGCCAGGGUAGCGAACGGG